GAUGAACGCUGGCGGCGUGCCUAAUACAUGCAAGUCGAGCGAACGGACGAGAAGCUUGCUUCUCUGAUGUUAGCGGCGGACGGGUGAGUAACACGUGGAUAACCUACCUAUAAGACUGGGAUAACUUCGGGAAACCGGAGCUAAUACCGGAUGAUAUUUUGAACCGCAUGGUUCAAAAGUGAAAGACGGUCUUGCUGUCACUUAUAGAUGGAUCCGCGCUGCAUUAGCUAGUUGGUAAGGUAACGGCUUACCAAGGCAACGAUGCAUAGCCGACCUGAGAGGGUGAUCGGCCACACUGGAACUGAGACACGGUCCAGACUCCUACGGGAGGCAGCAGUAGGGAAUCUUCCGCAAUGGGCGAAAGCCUGACGGAGCAACGCCGCGUGAGUGAUGAAGGUCUUCGGAUCGUAAAACUCUGUUAUUAGGGAAGAACAUAUGUGUAAGUAACUGUGCACAUCUUGACGGUACCUAAUCAGAAAGCCACGGCUAACUACGUGCCAGCAGCCGCGGUAAUACGUAGGUGGCAAGCGUUAUCCGGAAUUAUUGGGCGUAAAGCGCGCGUAGGCGGUUUUUUAAGUCUGAUGUGAAAGCCCACGGCUCAACCGUGGAGGGUCAUUGGAAACUGGAAAACUUGAGUGCAGAAGAGGAAAGUGGAAUUCCAUGUGUAGCGGUGAAAUGCGCAGAGAUAUGGAGGGACACCAGUGGCGAAGGCGACUUUCUGGUCUGUAACUGACGCUGAUGUGCGAAAGCGUGGGGAUCAAACAGGAUUAGAUACCCUGGUAGUCCACGCCGUAAACGAUGAGUGCUAAGUGUUAGGGGGUUUCCGCCCCUUAGUGCUGCAGCUAACGCAUUAAGCACUCCGCCUGGGGAGUACGACCGCAAGGUUGAAACUCAAAGGAAUUGACGGGGACCCGCACAAGCGGUGGAGCAUGUGGUUUAAUUCGAAGCAACGCGAAGAACCUUACCAAAUCUUGACAUCCUUUGACAACUCUAGAGAUAGAGCCUUCCCCUUCGGGGGACAAAGUGACAGGUGGUGCAUGGUUGUCGUCAGCUCGUGUCGUGAGAUGUUGGGUUAAGUCCCGCAACGAGCGCAACCCUUAAGCUUAGUUGCCAUCAUUAAGUUGGGCACUCUAAGUUGACUGCCGGUGACAAACCGGAGGAAGGUGGGGAUGACGUCAAAUCAUCAUGCCCCUUAUGAUUUGGGCUACACACGUGCUACAAUGGACAAUACAAAGGGCAGCGAAACCGCGAGGUCAAGCAAAUCCCAUAAAGUUGUUCUCAGUUCGGAUUGUAGUCUGCAACUCGACUCCAUGAAGCUGGAAUCGCUAGUAAUCGUAGAUCAGCAUGCUACGGUGAAUACGUUCCCGGGUCU
RNAcentral lists this ribosomal RNA (1372 nucleotides) under uncultured bacterium. Its description in RNAcentral is "bacterial SSU rRNA". It matches the Rfam family "Bacterial small subunit ribosomal RNA", at positions 28 to 1381 of the family's 1533-position model. The record is from RNAcentral.